RNAcentral lists this ribosomal RNA (433 nucleotides) under uncultured bacterium. Its description in RNAcentral is "partial 16S ribosomal RNA". It matches the Rfam family "Bacterial small subunit ribosomal RNA", at positions 29 to 507 of the family's 1533-position model. The record is from RNAcentral.
AACGAACGCUGGCGGCAUGCCUAACACAUGCAAGUCGAACGAGACCUUCGGGUCUAUUGUCGCACGGGUGCGUAACGCGUGGGAACCUUCCCUUAUGUUCGGAAUAACUCCCCGAAAGGGGUGCUAAUACCGGAUAAUGUCUUCUGACCAAAGAUUUAUCGCCUUUGGAUGGUCCCGCGUUGGAUUAGCUAGUUGUUAGGGUAAAAGCAUACCAAGGCGACGAUCCAUAGCUGGUAUGAGAGGAUGAUCAGCCACACUGGGACUGAGACACGGCCCAGACUCCUACGGGAGGCAGCAGUGGGGAAUAUUGGACAAUGGGCGAAAGCAUGAUCCAGCAAUGCCGCGUGAGUGAUGAAGGCAUUAGGGUUGUAAAGCUCUUUUACCCGGGAUGAUAAUGACAGUACCGGGAGAAUAAGCCCCGGCUAACUCCGUG